CCUACGGGAGGCUGCAGUGGGGAAUAUUGGACAAUGGGCGAAAGCCUGAUCCAGCCAUGCCGCGUGUGUGAAGAAGGCCUUCGGGUUGUAAAGCACUUUCAGUGGGGAAGAAAGCCUUGGGGCUAAUACCCUCGAGGAAGGACAUCACCCACAGAAGAAGCACCGGCUAACUCCGUGCCAGCAGCCGCGGUAAUACGGAGGGUGCGAGCGUUAAUCGGAAUUACUGGGCGUAAAGCGCGCGUAGGCGGUCUGAUAAGCCGGUUGUGAAAGCCCCGGGCUCAACCUGGGAACGGCAUCCGGAACUGUCAGGCUAGAGUGCAGGAGAGGAAGGUAGAAUUCCCGGUGUAGCGGUGAAAUGCGUAGAGAUCGGGAGGAAUACCAGUGGCGAAGGCGGCCUUCUGGACUGACACUGACGCUGAGGUGCGAGAGCGUGGGUAGCAAACAGGAUUAGAUACCCGAGUAGUC
This 465-nucleotide ribosomal RNA is filed under the name Vreelandella stevensii. Its description in RNAcentral is "partial 16S ribosomal RNA". It matches the Rfam family "Bacterial small subunit ribosomal RNA", at positions 338 to 795 of the family's 1533-position model. The record is from RNAcentral. Lineage: Bacteria; Pseudomonadati; Pseudomonadota; Gammaproteobacteria; Oceanospirillales; Halomonadaceae.